This is an RNA transcript of Gossypium raimondii (Peruvian cotton), 1920 nucleotides long. RefSeq lists it as uncharacterized. The record is from RefSeq and is a predicted model, not a curated record. The transcript has 3 exons. Lineage: Eukaryota; Viridiplantae; Streptophyta; Magnoliopsida; Malvales; Malvaceae.
UCCUUUUUGAUUACAGAUCCCUUUGCCCCCUUACCCUUUUAAUAUGCUUUAGUCGUCGCAUAAGUCGGUAAACUCAACACCAAGUAAUUCGCAGGGUUGCAACAGCAGCAGCUGGGAGAAAAGACGAUCCAAAACUCUUCCUAAAACGAGCAAAAAUAGUAAGAGUUAUAUUAAUGGAUCCGUGUCCUUUUGUACGGAUCCUCGUAGGUAAUUUGGCCCUGAGGUUUCCACUUUCUACAAAGCCCUCGCUUUCAAGGAUCCAUCCUUCUACUUCUCCAUGUUACUGCAAGAUCAAACUCAAGAACUUCCCUCACCAGGUGGGUUCAAUCCCUUUGAUCCAUGCAAACACCCAAAACCCAGAAAGCUGCAACUUCUCUUUGCAGAAAUCGCUCGCUGCGUGUUUCAGUUUAAGCAAGUCCCAGGUGGAUAGGAUCAUCUCGAAAGGGGGUUCAUCAUAUAAACUUUCCAUCGAGGUUUACGCUGACCCUGAUGGCAGUACCUGCGGAUUGGCAUCUGGGAAGUUAUUGGGGAGGGUUACGGUGCCCUUGGAUUUACGUGGAGCGGAAUCAAGGUCGUCUGUUGCUCAUAAUGGAUGGAUUGAUAUAGGCCGAAACAAAAGCAACAAGAAUGGAUCCUCUGCGCAGAUGUUUUUAACUGUCAGGACUGAACCUGACCCGAGAUUUGUGUUCCAGUUUGGUGGUGAACCAGAGUGUAGUCCUCAGGUUUUUCAGGUUCAGGGGAGUGUUAAACAGGCCGUUUUCACUUGCAAGUUCGGUUUUAGAAGCUCCAGCGAUCGGAACUUGGGAUCAAGGACAUCUUUGCCUGAAUCGAACACUUCAAGAAAUUGGCUACCAUCUCUAAAAACAGAUAAAGAUCAAUCCGCCAAAGAACGAAAAGGCUGGUCAAUUACAGUCCACGACCUCUCAGGCUCUCCCGUAGCAAUGGCAUCAAUGGUAACCCCAUUUGUCCCUUCCCCUGGCUCGGACAGGGUCAGCCGUUCAAACCCUGGAGCAUGGUCAAUUCUUCGUCCAGAAUGUGGAACCUGGAAACCCUGGGGUCGCCUCGAAGCCUGGCGUGAGCCUGGUUUCACUGACGCCCUUGGAUACCGAUUUGACCUCUUCCAUGAUGAUAUCGUGGCCACAGGAACAACCACCACCGUCGCCAGUUCCACCCUCAGCACCAAACUUGGGGGGAAAUUCACCAUGGAUAUGACAACAAACAUAACAACUCCAUCAGUAAGCCCGCAAAGCAGCUGUGACCUGGGGUCAGGCUCACGUCCCGGGUCAAGACCAGGAUCGGGAUCAGGGUCAGAUUUCGGGUUUGGGUUGCCCCUUUCCCCGCAGAGCAUGUACCGGGGUGGAUUUGUGAUGUCGUCAACGGUGGAAGGUGUGGGGAAAUGCAGUAAACCGGAAGUGGAAGUAGGAGUAAAGCACGUGACAUGCACGGAGGAUGCUGCUGCCUUUGUGGCGUUGGCAGCGGCUAUGGAUCUAAGCAUGGAUGCUUGUCAGUCCUUCUCUCAAAAGUUACGGAAAGAGCUGAGACAGCAAAGUCAGAACUUUGUAGAUUAAGGGUUUUUGUCGAUUUAGUUGUUUUUGGAUUGGGAUUUGGGAUUCUUUCGGCAGAUAAGCUAACAGCAGUUUUUGAGUUGGAUGUAAGGAUUAGUUUGUACAGUGCGGAAUGACGAGAUAUAAGCAAGGGAACCAAACCAAAUGGUUAAUGAAUUUCAUCAUUACUGGAGUUUUUAGAUUUACAAGUGUAGAGACAUGAGAACAGAAAGCAGAAAGUGAAACAGCCUUUAGUUUUUAUCCACCUUGUUGGCAUUUAUUACAACUUUGGUUUGAUGUAAUUAUUGGAUGUGCAGAGCAUCCACUCCAAUUUUUUUUUUUUAUGAUAUAGAAUUAAAAGUUUAAUAUUCGUGCA